Haliotis rubra (blacklip abalone) is the source of this 223-nucleotide long non-coding RNA. RefSeq lists it as uncharacterized. NCBI's taxonomy places the organism in Eukaryota, Metazoa, Mollusca, Gastropoda, Lepetellida, Haliotidae. The record is from RefSeq and is a predicted model, not a curated record. The transcript has 3 exons.
ACCAAUUAUAUUUCUUGUUUUAUGGAUCCGCCAGUCAUAUUUUUUCAAGAAUAAGGAAAAAAAAUAAUAAAAUUUCCCUACUCAAAACUAAAAUCUUAAUGUUUUUAUGGGCCUUACAAGAAUUUUUUUUGUUGUUGUUUUUGCCCCAUAUACACUUUAUAUAUUGCCAUAAGUAAAAUAAUUUUGUAUUUUAAAGGAAUAUUACUUUGACUAGUGAUUCCAU